AGUGAACGCUGGCGGUAGGCCUAACACAUGCAAGUCGAACGGCAGCACAGUAAGAGCUUGCUCUUACGGGUGGCGAGUGGCGGACGGGUGAGGAAUACAUCGGAAUCUACUUUUUCGUGGGGGAUAACGUAGGGAAACUUACGCUAAUACCGCAUACGACCUACGGGUGAAAGCAGGGGAUCUUCGGACCUUGCGCGAUUGAAUGAGCCGAUGUCGGAUUAGCUAGUUGGCGGGGUAAAGGCCCACCAAGUCGACGAUCCGUAGCUGGUCUGAGAGGAUGGUCAGCCGCACUGGAACUGAGACACGGUCCAGACUCCUACGGGAGGCAGCAGUGGGGAAUAUUGGACAAUGGGCGCAAGCCUGGUCCAGCCAUACCGCGUGGGUGAAGAAGGCCUUCGGGUUGUAAAGCCCUUUUGUUGGGAAAGAAAAGCAGCAGGUUAAUACCCCGCUGUUCUGACGGUACCCAAAGAAUAAGCACCGGCUAACUUCGUG
RNAcentral lists this ribosomal RNA (492 nucleotides) under uncultured bacterium. RNAcentral describes it as "partial 16S ribosomal RNA". It matches the Rfam family "Bacterial small subunit ribosomal RNA", at positions 29 to 507 of the family's 1533-position model. The record is from RNAcentral.